UACAGAGGUGGCAAGCGUUGUUCGGAAUUACUGGGCGUAAAGGGCGCGUAGGCGGCCUUCUAAGGCGGACGUGAAAGCCCCAGGCUUAACCUGGGAACUGCGUCCGAUACUGGAAGGCUUGGAUUCGGGAGAGGGAUGUGGAAUUCCAGGUGUAGCGGUGAAAUGCGUAGAUAUCUGGAGGAACACCGGUGGCGAAGGCGGCAUCAGGGAUCGACACCGACGCUGAGGCGAGAAAGCUAGGGGAGCAAACGGG
RNAcentral lists this ribosomal RNA (253 nucleotides) under uncultured bacterium. Its description in RNAcentral is "partial 16S ribosomal RNA". It matches the Rfam family "Bacterial small subunit ribosomal RNA", at positions 524 to 776 of the family's 1533-position model. The record is from RNAcentral.